UUUACUGCUUGAUAGUUAAAACCGCGCGCGCAUCAUUUGCCGGCACUGAUGCUGUAAUCCGAAUCCGAAUUCAAGGCACCCGAGGCGACUUGAAAGAAAGAGUAAUAAACGGGAGAUUUGAACAAGAUGGAACUGACCUCAUUGAUAUCUACGACUAUGACAUUGGAUACAUCAAGGGAGCGGAUAUUAAGCGGAAUAAUGCUGGGUUUUUGCCGGACUGGAAACUUGACAAGAUCACCAUCAAAGUCGCCGGUGCAGAGGACAGCAUCUUCAAUUAUUACGACUGGGUCCCCCAAAACAAGUGGGUUGAAUUACCCC
Molecule: non-coding RNA, 318 nt
Organism: Pocillopora verrucosa
Lineage: Eukaryota; Metazoa; Cnidaria; Anthozoa; Scleractinia; Pocilloporidae
Source: RefSeq, a predicted model, not a curated record